This 931-nucleotide ribosomal RNA is filed under the name uncultured organism. Its description in RNAcentral is "bacterial SSU rRNA". It matches the Rfam family "Bacterial small subunit ribosomal RNA", at positions 42 to 946 of the family's 1533-position model. The record is from RNAcentral.
GCGUGCUUAAUACAUGCAAGUCGUGCGAGAAAGUCACUCUAUCGGGUGGUGAGUAAAGCGGCGAACGGGUGAGUAACACGUAAGAAACCUGCCCCUAAAUCCGGAAUAACAUUGCUAACGCGGUGCUAAUACCGGAUGUGGUCUCCAGUUUGCAUGAACAGGAGAUUAAAGGUGACCUCUACUUGUAAGUUAUCGUUUAGGGAUGGUCUUGCGGACCAUCAGCUUGUUGGCGGGGUAACGGCCCACCAAGGCUGCGAUGGUUAGCCGGCUUAAGAGGGUGAUCGGCCACAUUGGGACUGAGAUACGGCCCAGACUCCUACAGGAGGCAGCAGUAGGGAAUUUUGCGCAAUGGACGAAAGUCUGACGCAGCAACGCCGCGUGAGCGAUGAAGGUUUUCGGAUUGUAAAGCUCUGUUGAGUGGGAAGAAAACUCUCCGGGAUAAUACCCCGGAGACUUGACGGUACCACUCGAGGAAGCCCCGGCUAAAUACGUGCCAGCAGCCGCGGUAAUACGUAUGGGGCAAGCGUUGUUCGGAAUCACUGGGCGUAAAGGGAGUGUAGGCGGAAAGGUAAGUUAGAAGUGUAAUCCACGGGCUUAACCCGUGACUCGCUUUUAAUACUGCCUUUCUUGAGUAUGGGAGAGGGAGAUGGAAUUCCAGGUGUAGCGGUGGAAUGCGUAGAUAUCUGGAAGAACACCAGUAGCGAAGGCGGUCUCCUGGCCCAAUACUGACGCUGAGGCUCGAAAGCGUGGGGAGCGAACAGGAUUAGAUACCCUGGUAGUCCACGCCGUAAACGAUGGACACUAGAUGUUGGCCUCUUCGGGGGUCGGUGUCGUAGCUAACGCGUUAAGUGUCCCGCCUGGGAAGUACGCUCGCAAGAGUGAAACUCAAAGGAAUUGACGGGGGCCCGCACAAGCGGUGGAGCAUGUGCUU